This 99-nucleotide signal recognition particle RNA is filed under the name Chlamydiales bacterium. Its description in RNAcentral is "signal recognition particle sRNA small type". It matches the Rfam family "Bacterial small signal recognition particle RNA". From Rfam's summary of the family: The signal recognition particle (SRP) is a universally conserved ribonucleoprotein involved in the co-translational targeting of proteins to membranes. Archaeal SRP consists of a 7S RNA and homologues of the eukaryotic SRP19 and SRP54 proteins. The record is from RNAcentral. RNAcentral also lists the same sequence under 1 other name. Lineage: Bacteria; Pseudomonadati; Chlamydiota; Chlamydiia; Chlamydiales.
GCUGGAGGGCUUGAGAGGUGGAGAGCUUUCGAACCAGGUCAGGACGGGAACGUAGCAGCCUUAAGAUUGCUCCCAAGCUUUCAAGUCCCCUUCAGCUUU